UCUAUAACUUGAAUAUAUUGAUCACCAGGUACACUUGAUAGACGUAAAAAUAAUCUAUAUAUCUAUAUAAAAGCAGGUCAAAAGCCCGCUGACAUGACAUUACAGAAAUUCAGGAUUUGUAUUUAUCCCUUUUUACAAAAUUUUGGGGGGAAAAAAACGAAAAAACACCUUAAAAACUAAACACCGGCAAGAACACACACCUCUUCGCUCUUUAUACCCCCCCCCCCCCCCCCCCCCAACAACUGCGGCCCAGGGUAACGGAUUCUCUUUCACUUACAACCGCUUAUGGCGUCUAUUGUCGGAAGCAAAGAGCCUCCAUCUCUUUCCCUUUUUCUCCGUCUGUUUGAUUCUUAUUUCCCUCAAGGCCGCUUGCAAUUUUGCUUAUCCUUGCCCAAUUUAUGCAAGGAGUUACAAGUAAAAUAUCCUUCCCUGUUUAUGUAGUUUAAUUUCAUAUGUGGCUUUUGUGUGUGUUAUUUUAAUUUUCUCUUACUUAGGAGAUCCAAAAGUAUUUCCUUUGAGUCACAUGUUCUCCAUGUUUGAAAUUCUUUAGACCAGAUCAUGAUAAUUGUGCAAACUAGGAGACGGAUACAGGCUUAGUAUUAUUUUUCUUUGCUCUUUCAUCUAAUAGUUUAUAUUUCUUGUCCUCUUUCAUCUGAUAGGUAUCCCUGUGAAAUAUCUUUUUCUAGGCGUCAAGCAGUUCAGAUCUUUUAAAGCACAUGAUUGACAUAUGGAAUUUCAUUUAUAUGUGAUGAAGAAUGUAGUGGUUCUUCUAAUAUCAACCAUCCGACGCUGGGUGUCCGAGUCUCUUUGAGCCCCGACUAAUCCCGGGGGUGCACAGGCCCUCGGCAAGGAGUUUCCCGCAAGUGCACCACGGGUAAUUCAGGGUUUUCCCAGUCCGAUGACCCUCAGAAAUUGUUUGCACCCAGCGGGUUUCGAACUUGAAACCUUGAAAGGGAGCACCCCAAGGCUCAAGUCAAUUGUCACCAGGCCAACCCCUGAGGGUUGUUACUCAACAACAAGAUCAUGGAAGUGAAAAGGAAAGAAGAGGUUUCAGACUUUUAGCAAGAGCUGAUAUUGUUAUAGAGGAAAGGAAUUAGCCAUCAUUCUUCUUCAUCAUUCAUUAUGACAAUUGCAAAUAAAAUCCAUCUACAAAAGUUGCAUUUAAGGAAGAAAUGACGAAGAUGAAAAGUAUCAUAACUUUCAAAGACCCAUAUCGUCUAUAUUCCAACCGAUCUCUCACCAUUUCAGCACCCGAUAUGUAUAUGGAGCCGUUCUGCAGUGUAUGGGAAGUGUUGGAAAUCUUUCCUGAACUUGAAACAGUGUGACCACGAACCACUAUUGAUAUUCUGGCACAUGCUUUGCACACAGAAUUUCAGAAGGCCAAUUUUUUUUUUUUUUUUUUUUUUAAAAACAUUGCUAAAACAUCUCUAAAGGUAGAAGUAGAAGAUGGGGAAGAGUUACUUUAAAGAUUGUUAUCUUUUAAAGAUAAGUGUCGGGGAGCCCGACACUUCAUUAGUCUCAGGUGUUGUACAGAGAGGUUAUAAGUAUAUCAUAAUACUUAAUUUGAUAAAUUCUAUUUAAAUCUUUUUCAUGUCCUUUUGUAUGAUAACAUCUUUGUGUCGUUGGAUUUAACAACAAAACUCCUAUCCAGUGACUUGUGCUUGAAUAACCAAAUAGCUACAUUUGUGUUUUUGGUUCAUUGGUUCUGCAUUUUUCUGCAAUGACAUGACAUCUAUAGAUAGCAUUUUCACUCAAUUAAAAUAUAUUAAGAGAAUACUUCUAUAUUGCUAAUCAACAAAACUCAAACUAAUUUAUAGCUGUAUCUUGGAAGUAUGUGGCUUGCUUAAAAGUAUGUGGUUUGCUUAACAGUUUAUAUAUAUGAACUUUUGCUUAAGCCUGAAUUAUAAGGAAAUAAUAAACAUACAGCAGCACAUUCAAUGUUACUGAUUUUAUUAUAAUGUAGCCAAUGAAUCUUAAGGAAAUAUAACAAAUAAAAUUACAUAUAGCAAUCAAUCUGGUCAGCCUGGGAUCUGUUGCCAUUUGAGACCAUUUAUAUAUAUUGUUUUGGGUAUCUUUCUUCUUUUACAGUGUCAAGCUGGAGUAGAGAUAUCAACACGGACGGACAGUAAGGCUAGCAACGAAUACCAACUCUUUGGAGCUUGUCUUAAGUGCUGGAUUGGAGAUUGAUGCAUUUAGUAAUUGUAUUUUGCAGGUUAAAAUGACCAUAACAUAAUGUAAGGCGUUGGGUGCUUUGUUUCUAUUAGUAGUAUACAUUUCCUUAGAAGGAAAUUUCCACUUCGUUAAAGCUAUACUCUGGAAUUAUAUUGCUUAGUCAUCUUUGAAGACCAAAACAAUUCAAUGACUCGCCAUGAUUUUAGUGAAUUAUCUGGAAUAUUUGAUUUUAGUCAAUCAUCUUUGCUUCUGUUUCACGUUCAUACGAAGCCAGCAACUUGAACUUAACAAUCUACGAUAUAUCAUGCACAACUAACUGUGACAAAUGUGCUGCUAAAAGAAUGUUAAGUCAAAAAGUAUCAUCUACUCCACUUCGUUAAAGCUAUACUCUGGAAUUAUAUUGCUUAGUCAUCUUUGAAGACCAAAACAAUUCAAUGACUCGCCAUGAUUUUAGUGAAUUAUCUGGAAUAUUUGAUUUUAGUCAAUCAUCUUUGCUUCUGUUUCACGUUCAAUGUAGCUUAAUUACAGAAGAAAGUAGCAUGUCAUGUGCUCUAUCACCUUCCAUACAACUAUGUUGAGUAGAUGAUACUUUUUGACUUAACAUUCUUUUAGCAGCACAUUUGUCACAGUUACUUAGUUGUGCAUGAUAUAUCGUAGAUUGUUAAGUUCAAGUUGCUGGCUUCGUAUGAUAUCGCGAGUAAAAGAACUUAUAUCUUGUAGUUUACCAUUUUUGCAUUCAUUUGGCUGUCUCAUGAAGAUAUACUCAGCAUUCAAUGUUGUUUUCCAAACGUCAAUCUUUAGACACUUUCCUAUUGGAGGCUUGGAGCUCUAGACAAGGAAUUUUUAAUGAUAAGAAAAGCAAGAUUGUAAAAAUCAUAGAUCCUCACAGAAGACAUGUUAGAAAAUACUCUGGAGUUAAAAAAAAAAUGUUACAAAAUACUAACCAUAAAGAACAAAUACCUGAAUUUGAAGACCAAUAUAAUAGCUGCUUGGCAGGUCAUUUACCCUUUGGCAUAGGCUUUUUGUAAAAUGUUUUAUGCAUUGGAGCUUAUAAUUCCUUAGGCCUACUGAUAUUUCUAUGCAGAUUUGUUAGUUUUAGAGUAGGAAAAGGAAACAUGAGUUUGAUACAUGAGGACUAAUUUGAGUUGAUGGUAAUUUAAUUUAUCAAGUUUAUGACAAAAUUAUGUAUUUGUUAGUUCAAUGGAAUUGUGGUUGACUUGCUUGGCUAUCUAGCAGAUAUUGUUUUUUCCUGUGUGGCGAAUUCGAGAAUUGCACGGAGAAAAAAACCCAAAAAAUAGCUUUGAAACAGAAACAGAAGCAAAGCGUGAGGAGGAGAAAAUUGAAAUGAUUGCUUUAGAAGAGGAAGAGAAUGUUGGAUUGCAACUUCAAGAUUGAUCAUUGCAGGGCAAUGUCUUACCCAAUUUACAUAGAACCUGAAUGUCAUUUCUCACAUAACAUGCUACUUUCUUCUGUAAUUAAGCUACAUUGAACGAAUUUAAUGAAUGCUCUAGCUUAUUUGCAAAGUGAACGCCUUUUUGAAAAA
Molecule: long non-coding RNA, 3715 nt
Organism: Lycium barbarum (goji berry)
Lineage: Eukaryota; Viridiplantae; Streptophyta; Magnoliopsida; Solanales; Solanaceae
Exons: 5
Source: RefSeq, a predicted model, not a curated record